GUAGGUGGCAAGCGUUGUCCGGGAAUUAUUGGGGCGUAAAGCGCGCGCAGGCGGUUCUUUAAGUCUGAUGUGAAAGCCCACGGGCUCAACCGUGGAGGGUCAUUGGAAACUGGAGAACUUGAGUACAGAAGAGGAAAGCGGAAUUCCACGUGUAGCGGUGAAAUGCGUAGAGAUGUGGAGGAACACCAGUGGCGAAGGCGGCUUUCUGGUCUGUAACUGACGCUGAGGCGCGAAAGCGUGGGGAGCAAACAGGAUUAGAUACCCUGGUAGUCCACGCCGUAAACGAUGAGUGCUAAGUGUUAGGGGAUUUCCGCCCCUUAGUGCUGCAGCUAACGCAUUAAGCACUCCGCCUGGGGAGUACGGCCGCAAAGGCUGA
RNAcentral lists this ribosomal RNA (376 nucleotides) under uncultured organism. RNAcentral describes it as "partial 16S ribosomal RNA". It matches the Rfam family "Bacterial small subunit ribosomal RNA", at positions 527 to 897 of the family's 1533-position model. The record is from RNAcentral.